RNAcentral lists this ribosomal RNA (253 nucleotides) under uncultured bacterium. RNAcentral's name for it is "partial 16S ribosomal RNA". It matches the Rfam family "Bacterial small subunit ribosomal RNA", at positions 524 to 776 of the family's 1533-position model. The record is from RNAcentral.
UACAGAGGGUGCGAGCGUUGUCCGGAAUCACUGGGCGUAGAGGGCGCGCAGGCGGUUCUAUAAGACAGAUGUGAAAUCCCCGGGCUCAACCUGGGAACUGCAUUUGUGACUGUAGAGCUGGAGUACGGUAGAGGGGGAUGGAAUUCCGCGUGUAGCAGUGAAAUGCGUAGAUAUGCGGAGGAACACCGAUGGCGAAGGCAAUCCCCUGGACCUGUACUGACGCUCAUGCACGAAAGCGUGGGGAGCAAACAGG